AUACGGAGGGAGCGAGCGUUAAUCGGAAUUACUGGGCGUAAAGCGCGCGUAGGCGGCUUUGUAAGUCGGAUGUGAAAGCCCUGGGCUUAACCUGGGAAUGGCAUUCGAUACUGCAGAGCUAGAGUAUGGUAGAGGGAAGUGGAAUUUCCGGUGUAGCGGUGAAAUGCGUAGAUAUCGGAAGGAACACCAGUGGCGAAGGCGACUUCCUGGGCCAAUACUGACGCUGAGGGACGAAAGCGUGGGGAGCAAACAGGAUUAGAAACCCCGGUAGUCC
This 274-nucleotide ribosomal RNA is filed under the name uncultured bacterium. Its description in RNAcentral is "partial 16S ribosomal RNA". It matches the Rfam family "Bacterial small subunit ribosomal RNA", at positions 523 to 796 of the family's 1533-position model. The record is from RNAcentral.